Molecule: ribosomal RNA, 560 nt
Filed under: Geotrichum candidum
Lineage: Eukaryota; Fungi; Ascomycota; Dipodascomycetes; Dipodascales; Dipodascaceae
Description: partial large subunit ribosomal RNA
Rfam family: Eukaryotic large subunit ribosomal RNA
Source: RNAcentral
GCAUAUCAAUAAGCGGAGGAAAAGAAACCAACAGGGAUUGCCUUAGUAACGGCGAGUGAAGCGGCAAAAGCUCAAAUUUGAAAUCGGCCACCAGGUCGAGUUGUAAUUUGUAGAUUGUAUCUUGAGAGCGGAUUAAAGUCUGUUGGAACACAGCGCCUUAGAGGGUGACAGCCCCGUAAAAUCUAUUCUCAUUGUAAGAUACUUUCGAAGAGUCGAGUUGUUUGGGAAUGCAGCUCUAAGUGGGAGGUAAAUUCCUUCUAAAGCUAAAUAUUGACGAGAGACCGAUAGCGAACAAGUACUGUGAAGGAAAGAUGAAAAGCACUUUGAAAAGAGAGUGAAAAAGUACGUGAAAUUGUUAAAAGGGAAGGGUAUUGAAUCAGACUUGGUGCUGUUGUUCAACUGUGUUUCGGCAUAGUGUACUCAGCAGUACUAGGCCAAGGUGGGGUGUUUGGGAGUGAAAAAGAAGUUGGAAGGUAACUCUUCGGAGUGUUAUAGCCUACUUUCAUAGCUCCUCAGGCGCCUCAGGACUGCGCUUCGGCAAGGACCUUGGCAUAAUGAUU